This 484-nucleotide ribosomal RNA is filed under the name uncultured bacterium. Its description in RNAcentral is "partial 16S ribosomal RNA". It matches the Rfam family "Bacterial small subunit ribosomal RNA", at positions 30 to 507 of the family's 1533-position model. The record is from RNAcentral.
AUUGAACGCUGGCGGCAGGCCUAACACAUGCCAGUCGAGCGGAUGAAGGGAGCUUGCUCCUGGAUUCAGCGGCGGACGGGUGAGUAAUGCCUAGGAAUCUGCCUGGUAGUGGGGGAUAACGUCCGGAAACGGGCGCUAAUACCGCAUACGUCCUGAGGGAGAAAGUGGGGGAUCUUCGGACCUCACGCUAUCAGAUGAGCCUAGGUCGGAUUAGCUAGUUGGUGGGGUAAAGGCCUACCAAGGCGACGAUCCGUAACUGGUCUGAGAGGAUGAUCAGUCACACUGGAACUGAGACACGGUCCAGACUCCUACGGGAGGCAGCAGUAGGGAAUAUUGGACAAUGGGCGAAAGCCUGAUCCAGCCAUGCCGCGUGUGUGAAGAAGGUCUUCGGAUUGUAAAGCACUUUAAGUUGGGAGGAAGGGCAGUAAGUUAAUACCUUGCUGUUUUGACGUUACCAACAGAAUAAGCACCGGCUAACUUCGUG